This 468-nucleotide ribosomal RNA is filed under the name uncultured bacterium. Its description in RNAcentral is "partial 16S ribosomal RNA". It matches the Rfam family "Bacterial small subunit ribosomal RNA", at positions 28 to 507 of the family's 1533-position model. The record is from RNAcentral.
GACGAACGCUGGCGGCGUGCUUAACACAUGCAAGUCGAACGGAGAGGCCCUGCUUUUGUGGGGUGCUCGAGUGGCGAACGGGUGAGUAACACGUGAGUAACCUGCCCUUGACUUUGGGAUAACUUCAGGAAACUGGGGCUAAUACCGGAUAGGAGCUCCUGCUGCAUGGUGGGGGUUGGAAAGUUUCGGCGGUUGGGGAUGGACUCGCGGCUUAUCGGCUUGUUGGUGGGGUAGUGGCUUACCAAGGCUUUGACGGGUAGCCGGCCUGAGAGGGUGACCGGCCACAUUGGGACGGAGAUACGGCCCAGACUCCUACGGGAGGCAGCAGUGGGGAAUAUUGCACAAUGGGCGGAAGCCUGAUGCAGCAACGCCGCGUGCGGGAUGACGGCCUUCGGGUUGUAAACCGCUUUCGCCUGUGACGAAGCGUGAGUGACGGUAAUGGGUAAAGAAGCACCGGCUAACUACGUG